CGUACUUGAAACUUGCCUUUCGCCAUAUUGAAAAUAACUUGCUUACAUCCAGUGAGAAGCUAGGUUGCAGAAAUGGCCAAGUCUAAGAAUCACACCAACCACAACCAGAACAGGAAACAGCACCGAAACAAGAUCCAGAAGCCAAAGUCUAACAGAUACCCAUCUCUCAAGGGAGUUGACCCCAAGUUCUUGCGUAACAUGAGAUUCGCCAAGAAGGGCAACAAGCGGGUACAUGUCUCCAAGGCAGAGUAGGCGUCGGUGCUGGAGAGUGGGUCUACACAGAUGGUUACUAUCUUAGUGGAUUUUGUACAGGAUGGAUGUAAAAAAUAAAAAAACUUAAAAAUGA
Molecule: long non-coding RNA, 346 nt
Organism: Lineus longissimus
Lineage: Eukaryota; Metazoa; Nemertea; Pilidiophora; Heteronemertea; Lineidae
Exons: 4
Source: RefSeq, a predicted model, not a curated record